This is a non-coding RNA of Oryza sativa Japonica Group (Japanese rice), 2803 nucleotides long. The record is from RefSeq and is a predicted model, not a curated record. Lineage: Eukaryota; Viridiplantae; Streptophyta; Magnoliopsida; Poales; Poaceae.
GCUUUCCUGCUUUGCCUUUGCUUGGUUGCUUGUGUUGUGUGCUGUGCUGUGCAGUGGCGAUGACUGCUUUGCUGCUGCUGUUCUUAAUUGCUGCAUGCCAUGUCUCACUUGGAAAGUAUUUUUUUGCUUUGCUUUGUUUGUUUGUUUCAGCCAGGGGGGAAGAAGGAAGGAAGAAGAAGAACACUGCUGCCAAUCCGAGGAACAAUCCAACGGGGGCAACAGAAAAGGAAAUUUUCUGCUCCUGCGGUUGAGUUGGUAAAAUUUGGGAGGUGAUGGCAUCGAAUUCAUCGGCUGCAGCUGCGGCGGCGUUCUUCGGGAUUAGCAGGGAUGGGGACCAGCAUGACCAGAUUAAGCCGCUGAUAUCACACCAACAGCACCAGCACCAGCAGCAGCAGCUGGCAGCGUCACUGACCGGCGUGGCAACAGCGGCGCCUACUGCGGCGUCCAGCCAAGGCGCACCGCCGGCGGCGCCACCGGCCAAGAAGAAGAGAAAUCUACCAGACCCGGACGCGGAGGUGAUAGCGCUGUCGCCCAAGACGCUGCUGGCGACGAACCGGUUCGUGUGCGAGGUGUGCAACAAGGGAUUCCAGCGGGAGCAGAACCUACAGCUGCACCGGCGAGGCCACAACCUGCCGUGGAAGCUGAAGCAGAAGAACCCGGCGCAGGCGCAGCGCCGCCGCGUGUACCUGUGCCCGGAGCCGACGUGCGUCCACCACGACCCGGCCCGCGCCCUCGGCGACCUCACCGGCAUCAAGAAGCACUUCUGCCGCAAGCACGGCGAGAAGAAGUGGAAGUGCGACAAGUGCUCCAAGCGCUACGCUGUCCAGUCCGACUGGAAGGCCCACUCCAAGAUCUGCGGCACCCGCGAGUACCGCUGCGACUGCGGCACCCUCUUCUCCAGGAGGGACAGCUUCAUCACGCACAGGGCGUUCUGCGACGCGCUGGCGCAGGAGAGCUCCAGGCUGCCGCCGACGAGCCUCAGCAGCCUCACCAGCCACCUGUACGGCGCCAGCAACGCCGGGAACAUGGCGCUCAGCCUCUCCCAGGUGGGCUCCCACCUCACCACCUCGCUCCAGGACGGCGGCGGCCACCACCACCACCCGUCCCCCGAGCUGCUCCGCCUCGGCGGCGCGGGCGGUGGCGGCGGGGCCGGCGGCGGGAGCAGCAUCGCCGCGCGGCUCGACCACCUGCUGUCGCCGUCGGGCGCGUCUGCCUUCCGCCCCCCGCAGCCGGCGUUCUUCCUCAACGCCGCCGCGGCGGCGGCGGCGACUGGGCAGGAUUUCGGCGACGACGCUGGCAAUGGGCAGCACUCGUUCCUGCAGGCCAAGCCGUUCCAUGGCCUCAUGCAGCUGCCCGACCUCCAGGGCAAUGGCGCCGGGGGCCCCGGCGCGCCGGGACCUAACCUCUUCAACCUCGGCUUCUUCGCCAACAACGGCAACAGCUCGGGGUCUAGCCAUGAGCAUGCCAGCCAGGGGCUGAUGAGCAAUGACCAGUUCAGCUGUGGUGCAGGCGGCGGCGGCGGUCUGACGCGUCGGCGGCGGGGAUCUCCGGCGGUAACUUCGUUGGUGGCGACCAUGUUUCUCCUGCAGGGCUCUACAACGAUCAAGCGGCGAUGCUGCCGCAGAUGUCGGCGACCGGCUCUCCUCCAGAAGGCGGCGCAGAUGGGCGCGACGUCGAGCGCGAACGGCCCGGGCUCCAUGUUCCGUGGCUUCGUCGGCUCGUCGCCGCACAUGCGGCCGGCGGCGCAGCACAUGGACCAGAGCGACGCGCACCUCAACGACCUGAUGAACUCCCUCGCCGGCGGCGGCGUCAACGCCGCCGCCAUGUUCGGCGGCACCAACGGCGGCGGCGUCCCUGGCGCGGGGAUGUUUGAUCCGAGGCUGUGCGACAUCGAGCACGAGGUGAAGUUCAGCCAGGGCGGCGGAGGCGGAGGCGGCGCCGGCGCCGGCACCGGCGACGGGACGCGGGAUUUCCUCGGCGUCGGCGGUGGCGGCAUCGUCCAUGGCAUGUCGACGCCGAGAGGAGACCACCACCAGAGCAGCAGCGACAUGAGCUCCUUGGAGGCCGAGAUGAAGUCCGCAUCGUCCUUCAACGGGAGAAGGAUGCCAUGAAUCCACCAUGAUCAAGUCAUCGAUCGAGCUUACACAAGCCGUCAAGCUCCGAUCGAUCGGUAGUAGUACCAAGUGAGAGUCUGAGACUUGAAGCAAUGCAACUGCAACUCUGGGGGAUUAACGCAUGCGCGCAUGAAUUGGGGAGGAGCAAGCUAAGGUUAUAGUAUACUCAUCAUAUAUAGCCUAAUGUCGAGUUAGCAACUAAGUUUGAUCGAUCGCAUGAGCUGGUGUGCAAGCAUGCAUGGGAUAAAAGCUAUACUAAGCUAGCUCUUCAAGCAUAUCAUGACCUGGAAAACUUGGGGUUUAGUCAGGAAGAGAGGCGUCCUCUCUGACUAAUUAAGUAAUUAAGGCUAGUGCGAGUGGACGCGUGUGAUGACCCUUGUUGCUCUCGGUGGGGUUGGUGUUAAUGCCGUUGCUAUUGUUCUUGUUGUUUGUUUUCACCUCCUUGUAGUUGGAUCCUUGUUGGGUUAAGUAUAGUUCCAUAGAGCCAAUAAGAAUGUUCAAUUUGUAGCUAGCUCAAUGGGGGAAAGAGAGUGGCUUAAUUUCCCCUCGUUCUCUUCCUCUCUUUUUUUUCCCUUUCAAUUUCUUGUUUUUAUUAAUUAAUUACUGUUCCUUGUAGCAAAAAAAACCAUAUAUUGCCCUGCAAAGUGCAAUUGAUCAUGUUGGCUCAAAUGCAUGAUUUUUCCAGUUUU